Molecule: long non-coding RNA, 530 nt
Filed under: Sinocyclocheilus grahami
Lineage: Eukaryota; Metazoa; Chordata; Actinopteri; Cypriniformes; Cyprinidae
Description: lncRNA (ENSSGRG00000017050.1)
Source: RNAcentral
GAUUUCUUGAUUCUUACUCAUCAUUCACUUUCUUUUUCUCUCCACUCCAGUCCAUAACUCUGUCUCUCCAGGGCUUUAUAUGUUGUCAGGCAAUCAAGCGUUUAUUUGGGCCACUCAAUCUGCAGAGUUGGAGAAUCACAACAUGGGGUGCAAGAAACAUCAAGGGCGAAAAAAGAAGAAAUAUGGAGAAGACGCGAGGACCAUGGAGGGCCCCAUAUUGAAAUCUGCCAAGCAUCCUCUAAAGCAGUCUAGCUGAAAAAGGCUUAAUUAUUUUCUGCACCAUUCUGUCCAGAACCUUGCAGCCUGUAUCCAGCAGUCAUAUUUUCAUCCAUCUCCUAGUUUUUCAUAAGCUUGUUCAUCUGUGUUCAAAAACAGCCUCGUACAAAUUUGUACCUGAUUAGAAAUGUAUAAAGAUCCUCAGAUUCACAGUUUGAAAGCUCAUAUUUAAUAGCAGAAUUUGCUUUAGCAGCUUGUGAAAUCAAACAGAGAACAGUAAAUAAAAGUUGUCUUAUGUUCUGCUACAUUCACAG